RNAcentral lists this ribosomal RNA (740 nucleotides) under uncultured bacterium. Its description in RNAcentral is "bacterial SSU rRNA". It matches the Rfam family "Bacterial small subunit ribosomal RNA", at positions 8 to 796 of the family's 1533-position model. The record is from RNAcentral.
AGAGUUUGAUCCUGGCUCAGAACGAACGCUGGCGGCAGGCUUAGCACAUGCAAGUCGAACGCCCCGCAAGGGGAGUGGCAGACGGGUGAGUAACGCGUGGGAAUCUACCUAGUUCUACGGAACAACACAGGGAAACUUGUGCUAAUACCGUAUACGCCCUACGGGGGAAAGAUUUAUCGGAAUUAGAUGAGCCCGCGUAAGAUUAGCUAGUUGGUGGGGUAAUGGCCUACCAAGGCGACGAUCUUUAGCUGGUCUGAGAGGAUGAUCAGCCACACUGGGACUGAGACACGGCCCAGACUCCUACGGGAGGCAGCAGUGGGGAAUAUUGGACAAUGGGCGAAAGCCUGAUCCAGCCAUGCCGCGUGAGUGAUGAAGGCCUUAGGGUUGUAAAGCUCUUUCAGUAGGGAAGAUAAUGACGGUACCUACAGAAGAAGCCCCGGCUAACUUCGUGCCAGCAGCCGCGGUAAUACGAAGGGGGCUAGCGUUGUUCGGAUUUACUGGGCGUAAAGCGCACGUAGGCGGAUUGUUAAGUCAGGGGUGAAAUCCUGGAGCUCAACUCCAGAACUGCCUUUGAUACUGGCAAUCUAGAGUCCGGAAGAGGUGAGUGGAACUCCUAGUGUAGAGGUGGAAUUCGUAGAUAUUAGGAAGAACACCAGUGGCGAAGGCGGCUCACUGGUCCGGUACUGACGCUGAGGUGCGAAAGCGUGGGGAGCAAACAGGAUUAGAUACCCUAGUAGUCC